UACGUAGGGGGCAAGCGUUAUCCGGAUUUACUGGGUGUAAAGGGAGCGCAGACGGGAACGGAAGUCAGAUGUGGAAGCCCCGGGCAUAACCCGGGGAGCGCAUUUGAAACUCUGAUCCUAGAGUACUGGAGGGGUGGGCGGAAUUCCUGGUGUAGCGGUGAAAUGCGUAGAUAUCAGGAAGAACACCGGCGGCGAAGGCGGCCCACUGGACAGCAACUGACGUUGAGGCUCGAAAGCGUGGGGAG
RNAcentral lists this ribosomal RNA (245 nucleotides) under uncultured Butyrivibrio sp. RNAcentral describes it as "partial 16S ribosomal RNA". It matches the Rfam family "Bacterial small subunit ribosomal RNA", at positions 524 to 768 of the family's 1533-position model. The record is from RNAcentral. Lineage: Bacteria; Bacillati; Bacillota; Clostridia; Lachnospirales; Lachnospiraceae.